AUUUAAUGAUUUAUAUUGCAGCAUGGAAUGCGUGCCCUGCUGGCUGAUAAAAUGGGACUUGGAAAGACUCUUCAGGUAUUAAAUCUUUUAUACUGUAAUACAUCUCAACUCAUUUCGUUGGAUUGGCUAAUGGGGAUGGGCUCAUAAUUUCCUUUGAGCUUCUGUUUUACAUGGUUGUGCAAGUUUCAGCUAUCUGUGAAAUUCGUUUCCAAAAAAUCAACAAUUACUGAACUACUUUUAUCAUGAACUACGUUGUUUAACAUUUAACGCAAGAUUUUUCAUGCUAAAGAUUGUUGUUCUGUGCUAAUUUAAUACAAGAUUUUUCAUGCUAAAAAUUUUGUUCCUUUUGUCCUGUAAAGUUUUGCAUGGGACUUGACUAUCCAUGUACCUUAUUUGAUUUAGAGGUUUUAUUGAAUAGUUGUUUUGAUUUCUAUAAUUGCUAUUUUCAAAAUGGAGAUUAGAUCUGCAAUAGUUUGGUUAUAUUGUUGAUGCAUGAUAUCCCGUCUAAAAGUAGUUAAAACUAAGGGGGAAAUUCCAAGAUGAAUUUUUUAGUAAUAUGUUAUGUUUAGGUUCAUAAUCCAUUUAGCUUUGUGAAUCCAAUAAUUAGAUGCGUCCUGCAGUGAGAGAACUUAUAUUCAGAUUCAAACUCAUUUGAGAAUAACUGCUUUUACAAUUGUAACUAAACUGUACCUUCAGGAUUUACUACUGGUUAGUUUUAAAGAUUAAAUCUGUUUGAGAUAUCAAAGUAGAAUAGUUAUAGCAGAUUAUCUCUUGGCUCUUGCGAAUGUCAAAAGAUUUUGAAGCAUGUAUUAACUUUAGUAAUUUCCUUUGGCAUGAAAACUUAGUAGAGCCCAAAAAAAAUUAAAUAUCCGAUCACAACUGCAGGCAAUUGAUGUGAGGAAAGAUUCUAGCAAGGCAGCUCUAAUCGCCGACAGUGAAAGGUCGGUGAUCUUGUGCUUGCAAAGGGUCAAAGGAUUUCAAACAUGACUAGCUAUGGUAAUCCCUUCAUUUUUACACCAAGCUUUGUUUUUGGUUUUUUUCUCCUGUUAUUGAAUUAGAAUUUAGUGUAUCAUGCUAAUUUUCUUAGAUUUUUACUGUUCUUGGGUGUUGAAGUCAAUUAUAAGGUUUCUUCAUAUCUUUUGUUAACUACGGAUCUGACUUGGAAAUCAUACAUUUCACUCUUUCAAUUUUCUUAUGAGUAGGAGCAUGUUCUUUGGAGUUGACAAUGUAAGUAAUAAUAUACGUUUCCAAUAAAAAAUUGACAAAAUGAUAUUUGGGCAUCCCAUAUAGUUUGUGUAUGAAUUCACAUCCGAGUAAUUUUUGUCUACAAUGGAACUACAAUGGUGUACAACAUAAAUUUAGGAUACUUAAAAAUAUAAAAUUAUAGGUACCACUGCUCAAGUUUGUCAUUAAAAUAGAGAACUGCUCUAAGUUUUUGAUUUGUUAUUCUUCAGGUUUAUAUUCCUUGAUGGAUCUGUCAUCUAGAUGUAGAAAACAAAUUUCUUGCUUGCAUGGGUUUAUUAGUCCGAUCUAUGUAGAUGAAAAUUAGAAGAUUUUAUUUCAUAUUUUUCAUAUCAAAAUGGAGCAUGUAGCAGAUGGUAUAAAGAUGAUUGCUAAUCACAAAGAGCUCCUGUUUUGAGGACUCUCUUUCUCUAAACCUAUCAUUCCCCUUCCUAUUCUGUUACUUAUGUAACAUCUCUGAAUUUAUUAACAACACCAUUCCCACACUGACGGAAGUGGUUGUAUUCAAAUAAACAUCUUCAUCAUAAGCUACACUUUCUUGAGUUCUGUAGCUUUUAAUGUGCUUUGACAUCUCAUUUAUUGUCUACCUGUUUUUUACUAAAUAUUGAGUCGCAAAACUAUCAAGGUGUUUAUAAUCCAGUUACCUCAAUCCAUGUUUUUUUCUUGCUGGAUCAAGUUCCAUUGUAUUUUGUAACUAAAGUUAAAUAAUAUUGUAUUGAUUAGAAAUCACGAACUUCACUUUAUUUAUGCACCACGCACUCAGUAUUUUUUUUUUUUUUUUUUUUUUCCAGUCGAUUGCAAGUAUGGCCUGUUUAGAUUUUCCUUAGGAACAUAUUCCACUUUUGGAUGUCCAUCAAUAUACGAAUUGAUGGCCUAUCUAGACUUUCCUUAGGAACAUGUUCCACUUUUGGAAAUCCGGAGGAAGAUGUAUGAUAGUGAUAGAAAUUCCACUACCAUGCUCGAAGCUUGUCCCCCAAUAGAAGUUGUAACAAUAUUUUUGGAGGCUUUUUCAAGAAAUAACUUGAGCUACAAAGAAUUAUGCAAAAGAAAACGCUCUCUUUACUGAGAUGAUGAAGAGAAUGAUUUUCUAUAUAGAAUGUAGCACUUCUGUUCAAUAAAAUGUCAGUAUAAUAAGACUGUAAACAUUUCCUGCAUUUUUUUUAAAAUUUGAUUGAUUAUAGAUAAUUUUAUCCUAAUUCUUAUUUAGUCGGUUGAUUUCUAUCUAGGAUGCCAAAGUUAUUUUUGAACCCAAAUUUGAUGAUUGUUUGUAAAUGAUACAAGGCUAUUUGUAUUGCAGUCACAGCGUGCAAGGAAAGCUGGUCACGGUGUAAUGACAGCCAAAUUUGAUCUAAAAUCCCUAUCAUAUGCACUGGUAAAACCUGAAAAAUGCUCAGACUGCUUCCUCUGUGGUUUUUUAAAAUCAUUUUUUUUUUUUUUUUUUACCUUUUACAUUGUUUAGAUUUACUCCACCUUAUUAAUGAAUCCUAUAUAUUAAUAAAUAAUUAUGGCUCCUUUCUAUGCUUAAGCUUUUAAGGGGAGGCGUUUUUUAAGCUUGCCUCUAGGGAUUGAAUGAACAAAAGACAAUUACAUAAAUGCCAACUUAAAAGUUCAGCUUAGGUCUCAAAAUCUCAAUUACGGCCUUGGUUGAGUUAUUCUGUAAAUAUGAAUGUAUGAUUAGUGAAUGUAGGAAUUUGUUGUGUUUCAUGUAAUCUAGGAUUUUGUUCUUCCUUUUGGUGUAUUAUUAUUAUAAUUUUUUUUUUUGGGGUUUUGAUCUUUCCAAGGUCGUUAACGAAGUUCUUGAUAUCAGACGAUGUCCAGGUAUCUCUCUCUCUAGCAAUCCUGAAUUCAAAAACUAUGAAUUUUCAAAUACUAACUUUUCUAUAUUGUAUGUUAAGGAAAUUCUAUCCAAAUGAGUGAUGGAGUUGGAGCUGUGUUUCUAAUGAAGAAACGUGUUACAAUGCAGAAAGGAAUUCCAAUCCUUCGUGUAUUCAGGUGCUUAUCUUAUGUAACUAUUUUUUUUUUUUUUUUUUUGUAUAUCCAUCCUAUUAAGUAGCCAACUAUACUAUAGCACGUGCGUUUCACUAGUUUUCAUAAAUAAGUGGUUUUUCUAAUAAAUAAUUUACUUGUUAAUAAAAGUAAAAAAUAAGUAACGGUUUAUAUCGAACUUUAUGGACAAGAUAUUUAGUAAAUUAGUAAUAAAAACUAAAAAAUAUGCGUGAGAUAAAUUUUUUUUUUUUUUAAAUAUAGAAUUUUAAGUAUUAAGAUUUUAAUUUGUCAGUCGUUAACCUAGUGGAUUCUUUCUAAACAAUAGAAGAACAUAGUCCCUGGCUAAAACUUCAAUUCCUGAAUCUGUUCCAUGUCCCAGCGAACUCUUUGGAACCCACAGUCCUUGGACUAAUCGAGCAUAUUCCUGCAGGACUUCCAAAACUUCUUCAACAGACUCAUCUAGAGCUAGGUGCUUUUAGAGCGUCAAAUCCAUGAUUUGGAGAACCCUGUUCCAUCAACUUCAUACAUCAAUCCCGCAAUCUGAAAUUGCUGUUUAAUCCAUGUUAUACAUGUAGACCAGAAGGAUAGAAUACAGCUUUGAGAUCAAAGUGAGUAGGAACAGACCUCAAGACGCCAAGUUUUGC
Molecule: long non-coding RNA, 3872 nt
Filed under: Olea europaea subsp. europaea
Lineage: Eukaryota; Viridiplantae; Streptophyta; Magnoliopsida; Lamiales; Oleaceae
Source: RNAcentral